GGGAAGAAUCUGUGAAGCUCAGGAGGGAUAGCGCCAUGGACGAUCACUAUGCCACUAUUAAUUGGGUUCUUUGAUCGUCAUUAGCGCUAUCCAUCCUGAGUUUCAUCGGUCCUUAUU
This 117-nucleotide microRNA precursor is filed under the name Cephalotus follicularis. RNAcentral describes it as "MIR390 microRNA precursor family". It matches the Rfam family "MIR390 microRNA precursor family". The record is from Rfam by way of RNAcentral. Lineage: Eukaryota; Viridiplantae; Streptophyta; Magnoliopsida; Oxalidales; Cephalotaceae.